This 478-nucleotide ribosomal RNA is filed under the name uncultured bacterium. Its description in RNAcentral is "bacterial SSU rRNA". It matches the Rfam family "Bacterial small subunit ribosomal RNA", at positions 28 to 524 of the family's 1533-position model. The record is from RNAcentral.
GACGAACGCUGGCGGCGUGCUUAACACAUGCAAGUCGAACGGUAAGGCCCUUCGGGGUACACGAGUGGCGAACGGGUGAGUAACACGUGGGUGAUCUGCCCUGCACUUCGGGAUAAGCCUGGGAAACUGGGUCUAAUACCGGAUAGGACUCCUGGCUUCAUGGUUGGGGGUGUAAAGCUUUUGCGGUGUGGGGUGGGCCCGCGGCCUAUCAGCUUGUUGGUGGGGUAAUGGCCUACCAAGGCGACGACGGGUAGCCGGCCUGAGAGGGUGACCGGCCACACUGGGACUGAGAUACGGCCCAGACUCCUACGGGAGGCAGCAGUGGGGAAUAUUGCACAAUGGGCGCAAGCCUGAUGCAGCGACGCCGCGUGAGGGAUGACGGCCUUCGGGUUGUAAACCUCUUUCAAUAGGACGAAGCGCAAGUGACGGUACCUAUAGAAGAAGGACCGGCCAACUACGUGCCAGCAGCCGCGGUAAU